UACGUAGGUGGCAAGCGUUGUCCGGAUUUAUUGGGCGUAAAGAGCGUGUAGGCGGCCAGGUAGGUCCGUUGUGAAAACUAGAGGCUCAACCUCUAGACGUCGAUGGAAACCAUCUGGCUAGAGUCCGGAAGAGGAGAGUGGAAUUCCUGGUGUAGCGGUGAAAUGCGCAGAUAUCAGGAAGAACACCCGUGGCGAAGGUGGCUCUCUGGGACGGUACUGACGCUGAGACGCGAAAGCGUGGGGAGCGAACAGG
Molecule: ribosomal RNA, 253 nt
Filed under: uncultured bacterium
Lineage: Bacteria
Description: partial 16S ribosomal RNA
Rfam family: Bacterial small subunit ribosomal RNA
Source: RNAcentral